Molecule: long non-coding RNA, 375 nt
Filed under: Salvia miltiorrhiza (redroot sage)
Lineage: Eukaryota; Viridiplantae; Streptophyta; Magnoliopsida; Lamiales; Lamiaceae
Description: long non-coding RNA (SMIL_LNC009793)
Source: RNAcentral
CAUUGCACUCUACGUUAGAAUGUUGUUUUGCUAAGAAUUUCUUGGCCAAAACACGAGAGGGUAUGGGAUGAGCACUUCUAAUGUGGUAGCAAGAGAUUGAGUUGACUCAUUGAGGUUUAUAAACUUCUAAUUGAGGUUUAGACUCGUCCUUAAUUUGGUAUGGAUGUGAUUCUUGUUAAUUUAGGUAUUUGUUUUCUGAAAAGAAUUUUUGGAAAUAAUUUUGAGAGAGCAAUGCGUAAAGAGGAUUUCUGGUGAGCCCCAACAGUUGUUCCAUCUUGAGAAAAUUAUUGUAUACGAAACCUUCACCGAUGAAUCACAAAAAACUUGCAACAAAGAUUGAAACUUCAUUCAUCUAUUGCAUCUGCAUUCUUUAUA